AUGGGAUGCACGGCGUCCACGCGACGUGCGGGGCGGGGCUCGCUCGUGUUCGAGGUCUCAGGGUACGGCGGAGUUAGCCUCGACGUACAAUCAUCGGAAGUAUUCACCGUCGGCGCUUACGACUGGCAGAUUCGUUUCUAUGAGGAAGGAGUGUUUGGGCAUUCCGGAGGCUAUGUGGCGGUCUAUCUCUUUUUAGUCAGCAAGAAGGCCAAGGUGAGGGCAACCUUCGAGCUCAGUUUGGUGGACAUCACUGGAUCAACGCCGCCUCGUACGAUGAGGACGGUCGCCGCAGAAUUCGACUCUGGCGACCGGACGUGCUUCGGCCAUCCCGAGUUCAUGAGGAAGAGCGACCUCGAGGCGUCGCCUUACCUUCGCGGCGGCGAUCGCCUCACAAUUGAGUGUACCAUCACUAUCUGCACGGAAGCGCCCAAAUCAUUUGUUGAGGUGCCGUUGCCGCCAUCCGACAUCACGGAUCACCUCAGGAAGCUGUGGCAAGGGAAAGAGGGCACCGAUGUCACCUUCGAGGUUCAAGGGGAGGCUUUUCCUGCCCACAAGACAGUGCUCGCGAUGCGGUCACCGGUGUUUAAGGCAGAGUUGUACGGUGCCUUGAGGGAAAAUGAUAUGGGUCGCGUUAUCAUCGGCGACAUGCAACCUGCAGUCUUCGAGGCCCUGCUCCAUUUUAUAUACACCGAUUCGUUGCCCACCAUGCAUGAUCUUUACCAAGAUCAAGAUGAGUACAAAGAGAUUAUUGGACAUUUGCUUGUAGCCGCGGAUCGCUAUGCCAUGGAAAGACUGAAGAUCAUAUGUGAAAGCAUCCUUUGCAAGAACAUAGAUUCGAAGACCGUGGUGACUACACUGCCUUUGGCUGAUCAGCAUCACUGCAACAAGUUGACUGAUGCUUGCAUUGAAUUUAUUGCCUCUUUGGGUAAAGUGGAUGAUAUAAUAGCAAGCCAGGGAUAUGAUGAGCUCAAAAGAACCUGUCCUUUGGCUUUACUGGAACUGUGGGAGAAGGCAACUAGGCUGUACAUGAUAUAG
RNAcentral lists this ribosomal RNA (1035 nucleotides) under Triticum aestivum (bread wheat). RNAcentral describes it as "partial small subunit ribosomal RNA". Lineage: Eukaryota; Viridiplantae; Streptophyta; Magnoliopsida; Poales; Poaceae. The record is from RNAcentral.